RNAcentral lists this ribosomal RNA (706 nucleotides) under uncultured bacterium. Its description in RNAcentral is "bacterial SSU rRNA". It matches the Rfam family "Bacterial small subunit ribosomal RNA", at positions 70 to 770 of the family's 1533-position model. The record is from RNAcentral.
UGAGGAAAGCUUGCUUUCCUUGAUGACGACUGGCGCACGGGUGAGUAACGCGUAUCCAACCUUCCCAUAACUACGGGAUAACCCGUUGAAAGACGGCCUAAUACCGUAUGAUAUCGUUUGCUGACAUCAAAUAACGAUUAAAGGUUUAGCGGUUAUGGAUGGGGAUGCGUCUGAUUAGCUUGUUGGCGGGGUAACGGCCCACCAAGGCUACGAUCAGUAGGGGUUCUGAGAGGAAGGUCCCCCACAUUGGAACUGAGACACGGUCCAAACUCCUACGGGAGGCAGCAGUGAGGAAUAUUGGUCAAUGGGCGAGAGCCUGAACCAGCCAAGUAGCGUGCAGGAAGACGGCCCUAUGGGUUGUAAACUGCUUUUAUGUGGGGAUAAAGUGCGUGACGUGUCAUGCAUUGCAGGUACCACAUGAAUAAGGACCGGCUAAUUCCGUGCCAGCAGCCGCGGUAAUACGGAAGGUCCGGGCGUUAUCCGGAUUUAUUGGGUUUAAAGGGAGCGUAGGCUGUCUAUUAAGCGUGUUGUGAAAUUUACCGGCUCAACCGGUGGCUUGCAGCGCGAACUGGUCGACUUGAGUAUGCAGGAAGUAGGCGGAAUUCAUGGUGUAGCGGUGAAAUGCUUAGAUAUCAUGACGAACUCCGAUUGCGCAGGCAGCUUACUGUAGCAUAACUGACGCUGAUGCUCGAAAGUGCGGGUAUCA